RNAcentral lists this ribosomal RNA (1939 nucleotides) under marine metagenome. RNAcentral's name for it is "bacterial LSU rRNA". It matches the Rfam family "Bacterial large subunit ribosomal RNA", at positions 3 to 1973 of the family's 2925-position model. The record is from RNAcentral.
UCAAGUGAAUAAGCGCACAUGGUGGAUGCCUAGGCGGUAGGAGGCGAUGAAGGACGUAGUAGUCUGCGAUAAGCCUCGGGGAGCCGACAAACUGGCUUUGAUCCGGGGAUUUCCGAAUGGGGAAACCCACUGCUUCGGCAGUAUCCCUGACUGAAUACAUAGGUCAGUGGAAGCGAACCUGGGGAACUGAAACAUCUAAGUACCCAGAGGAAAAGAAAUCAAUUGAGAUUCCCUUAGUAGCGGCGAGCGAACGGGGAUUAGCCCAGUAAACAUAAAGCAAUGAAUCCUAGCAAAGCGGUCUGGAAAGUCCGGCCAUAGAAGGUGAUAGCCCUGUAUGCGAAAGGUGAAGUUGUGGGUUUACAAAGAGUAGGACGGGACACGUGUUAUCCUGUUUGAAUAUGGGGGGACCAUCCUCCAAGGCUAAAUACUCCCUACCGACCGAUAGUGAACUAGUACCGUGAGGGAAAGGCGAAAAGAACCCCGGAGAGGGGAGUGAAAUAGAACCUGAAACCGUGUGCGUACAAGCAGUGAGAGCCCCUUCGUGGGGUGAUUGCGUACCUUUUGUAUAAUGGGUCAGCGAGUUGCUUUCAGUGGCAAGCUUAACCGUAUAGGGGAGGCGUAGGGAAACCGAGUCUUAAAUGGGCGCCGUAGUCGCUGGGAGCAGACCCGAAACCGGGCGAUCUAUCCAUGGCCAGGGUGAAGGUGAGGUAAUACUUACUGGAGGCCCGAACCGGGUAAUGUUGAAAAAUUAUCGGAUGAGCUGUGGAUCGGAGUGAAAGGCUAAUCAAGCCCGGAGAUAGCUGGUUCUCCUCGAAAGCUAUUUAGGUAGCGCCUCGUGUAUCACUCUUGGGGGUAGAGCACUGUUUCGGCUAGGGGGUCAUCCCGACUUACCAAACCGAUGCAAACUCCGAAUACCAAGAAGUGCAAUCACGGGAGACACACGGCGGGUGCUAACGUCCGUCGUGGAAAGGGAAACAACCCAGACCGCCAGCUAAGGUCCCUAAAUCACAACUAAGUGGGAAACGAUGUGGGAAGGCUUAGACAGCCAGGAGGUUGGCUUAGAAGCAGCCACCUUUUAAAGAAAGCGUAAUAGCUCACUGGUCUAGUCGGCCUGCGCGGAAGAUUUAACGGGGCUAAGUUGUGUACCGAAGCUGCGGAUGCAUAGUUUACUAUGCAUGGUAGAGGAGCGUUCUGUAAGCCUGUGAAGGUGUGCUGUGAGGCAUGCUGGAGGUAUCAGAAGUGCGAAUGCUGACAUGAGUAACGAUAAUGCGGGUGAAAAACCCGCACGCCGAAAACCCAAGGUUUCCUGCGCAACGUUAAUCGGCGCAGGGUGAGUCGGCCCCUAAGGCGAGACCGAAAGGUGUAGUCGAUGGGAAGCAGGUUAAAAUUCCUGCACCUCGCUUUACUGCGAUGGGGGGACGGAGAAGGGUAGGUCAUCAGGGCGUUGGUUGUCCCUGUUCAAGCACGUAGGGAGUGUUCUUAGGUAAAUCCGGGAGCACAAUCCUGAGGUGUGAUGACGAGAUUCCUUUUGGAGUCGAAGUGAUUGAUCCCAUGCUUCCAAGAAAAGCCUCUAAGCUUCAGGUAAAGAGAGACCGUACCGUAAACCGACACAGGUGGGUGAGGAGAGAAUCCUAAGGCGCUUGAGAGAACUCGGGUGAAGGAACUAGGCAAAUUGGUACCGUAACUUCGGGAGAAGGUACGCCCCUGAUGGUGAUAGAACUUGCUUCUUAAGCUGUUAGGGGUUGCAGUGACCAGGUGGCUGCGACUGUUUACUAAAAACACAGCACUCUGCAAACACGAAAGUGGAAGUAUAGGGUGUGACGCCUGCCCGGUGCCGGAAGGUUAAUUGAUGGGGUUAGCGUAAGCGAAGCUCUUGAUCGAAGCCCCGGUAAACGGCGGCCGUAACUAUAACGGUCCUAAGGUAGCGAAAUUCCUUGUC